This is an RNA transcript of Triticum dicoccoides, 2776 nucleotides long. RefSeq lists it as uncharacterized. NCBI's taxonomy places the organism in Eukaryota, Viridiplantae, Streptophyta, Magnoliopsida, Poales, Poaceae. The transcript is spliced from 2 exons. The record is from RefSeq and is a predicted model, not a curated record.
GCGUAUUCCGCAUUUACGUGUUCGCCGGAACGGCUCUUCUUUAUCCUCUCGCCGGGCAACCGACGCCGUCCACUCCGGCUUCGCCAGUUCGCCUCCUUCGCCGUCGCCAUGGCCGACGCUAAAUCCCAAGGCCGAGCACCGACUACCGCUCCCGCUCCCGCUCCCGCUCCCACAUGGGCGCAACGGACCGAGGCCCUGACACACAUCCUGACCCACCCGUCCCACUCGCCGUCGCUCCACUCGCAGCUCUUCCUCGCGUCCCGCGUCCCGUGCCCACCUCGGGGCUCCUCCUACCCGCCUUUCCUCUGCCCCGGCGCGUCGCUCCUCCGGUGGGCCCUCACCUCCGUCUUCCUGCCCCGCGCCGCGCGCCUUGGCCUGCCGCCUUCGUCCUGGCGCUCCCGGUGCCCCUUCCAGUUCCCGCCGCCGCUCGUGCCCUCCGCCGGCAUCGAGCCGGCACCGGAGCGGUGGACCGAGGCCGAGCUCCGGGGGUACGCGCAGCGGCGGCGGGCUCGGAGGGGGCCCAUGAGGACGCGGCCGCCGGUGUCCAUGGCGGGGGUGGUGCUGACGACCGUGCCCAACAUCGUGAUCAUCGUGGUCAUCAUGCGCGAGCUCUUCUGGGUCCGGCCUGGCCGCUUCUGAGCCAUUCAGGUAAGCGGAUGCUCACGCAGCCGUGCGAGUUCUUCAACUGUGGACUGCGGUGCACUGACAUUGUGUGAUAGUAGCAUAUUUGUUAUACAAAACAAAUCGUCGACUGCAGCUUGCGAAAUUGUGACACUAUUUCCAGCGUCUUCCAGUUUGGGUAGAACUUGUGAAUGCAGUGUUAUUUGUUACUCGUACAACUUUUAGCUGCAGAUGUUGCUCAACUAGGCUUCUCCAAAGAGAAAGCAUUCAAGUCUGAGAUAGAUGCUGCGAUCACCUGUUUUAGCUGCAGAUGUUGCUGAACUAGCCUUCUCCAAAGCACAAGUCUGGGACAGAUGCCGCGCUAACCUGUUCAACUGUUCAGCGAGAAACAACAAAUCGAUGAUCAGGAGGCACAUGGAUCUCAACUGCUCCAUCAAGCACCUGGGUCAUCUUAUGCAUUUUAGGGCGUGUCGCUUGCUCCUGUCAUUGCAGUAGUUGGUGUUCCCUGGUUCGAUCACUUGCCAUACUCAACCUAUUUACAGGUUGACUCCACACACCGCAGUGCCACUGCCACAAACAGCUGGACCCUCUUCAUGUCAAGGGAAGCUGCCUUGUCUUCCAGCACCAGAAGAUUGAUAUAUCCAGCCCAGUCCGUUAGAAUUGCUCUAUCCUCAUGAGAUAUUUCUUGUUCAACAUUUUACCUGCAAGAUAUGAGCUCCAAAAAGGGUAGAUGAGGGGAAGGUUUACAAGGAUAGAGCGUCCAUGGAGCAAAAGAGGUCCCAAGGACCCAAUAAUAUGUCUUGUCUUUCUUCCGCUUGUCGUGUCAUUGCUGAUCUCAGAUCAGGAGCUGCUGUUCUUUGGCACGUUUAGAUACAGUGUUCUGCUCAUGGUGCUUUUCGCCUUUCUGUUAGACAGCAGCAGCUCCUUCCAGCAAUGAACUUGGUGAAAUACCAGACUGCCAAAAAACAAAACUUGGUGAAAAAAAGUGCAGAAACAGUUCAACAUGCACAUCUCAUGCAAUUAUCCUGAUUGAUAGUGUACUUGUGCUCAUGGCAGCAAGAGCCCAGUCCACAGCUAUCACUGAAAGUAGAUCAAACUGGUUGGAUGUUGAAUGAUGUUCAUCAAAGUCACGACUCUGGGCUUGGACGUCUGCUUGGCACCCUCUGUACUUCUGCUGAUCAAUGAAUGCAUAACAUGUUGGGAACUGGCAAAUGGCAACCCACCUCUGGUUCCUGGUCCAGUCAAAUCUGCAGUACCUGUGCUUUAAUUUUGUGUUGAACUGCUGUGGUACAUGUUCAGCGUGCAUACUCUGCUUGCAUCUCCUGUUACAACGAUGUUGCAGAUGCCCCUUGAGAUGAAGUUGCAGGAACGUUCCACUGGAUGCUCGCUGCUGCCAUCUUUGGUAGAUGCAUCGCCGGAAUUCGCCAUCUGUUUCAAGCUGGGACGGUGGUGGUGGUCUGCCAUGCAGGUCAUCUCCACAUAUGUGAUGCUGAUUUUUGAUCUUUCAAGGCACGGUGAAGUACUACCAGCUGUGAGCCGCUCCUGACGAUGUCACUGGACCAAGACGAGCUGUAUUGGUUUCCACAGAGUGCAGCCACAGCGUAAAACACGGGGUCUCUCUCAUAAUCUUGCACAUUGAGGAGAAGCCUGCCACCGGUGUUGUCUGUCGCCAUGAGCCGGCUGCAGAGUUUUAUCCCAUGGAGCAUUGUUAAGCACUAGAUUGGGCAGGUCGGUAUUGGCCGGGUUGGUGAAGGUGUCCAAACCAACUGCCCUGGUAAGCACAGUCUCUGGUGUCUGUCGUAGGAUGCACAGAUGAAUCUGGGAUUCCAAAGCUCUGAGUGUGCUGAAGGAGCCACCCAAACUGUGCUUCAACUGGCAUUCGCAUGCUGUAGGUGGUGUAUCAAACGAUGGCCUUGCCAAACCAGAGGGUGACAAGCGAGCCAAAGGUUGUGUUGCGCUGAUGGAGCACUUGAGGAUGAGCAUCUUACAAGGAGGAUGGAGAAUUCGGGAGCCACCAUUUCUCUUUGCUAGUUGCAGCAGCUCUUGCUUGAGGCUGUAAACCUUCCACAUUAUCAGGAGCAUGGUUGAUUUAGACCAUCAAGUUAAUCUAUUGCCUAAUAUACUUUCUGGAAACGCGACAAGAACAAAUCCUUCA